GGUAAUUUGGUUUAGUUGUUAGUCAGGAGCAUGAUAUGUACCAUAAGGUAUCUACGGAAUUCUUCGUAUUUCUUUAAAGAUCUUUAAUUUUAUCCCUUUCUGAGAUUAGGGUGAUGCAUGAGCCUGAUAUUUUAUUCUUUUAUUUGUGUUCCUUCAAGCAUUAAAUUUUAUUGAAUAUUCCAUGCUUAUUGAAGAUUCGUGCUAGGUGCAUCUA
This 214-nucleotide unclassified non-coding RNA is filed under the name Hevea brasiliensis (rubber tree). The record is from RNAcentral. Lineage: Eukaryota; Viridiplantae; Streptophyta; Magnoliopsida; Malpighiales; Euphorbiaceae.